Molecule: long non-coding RNA, 580 nt
Organism: Triticum dicoccoides
Lineage: Eukaryota; Viridiplantae; Streptophyta; Magnoliopsida; Poales; Poaceae
Exons: 2
Source: RefSeq, a predicted model, not a curated record
CAUAUCAUUUGUUUUUGCCAAUAUAUAUCUCAACCGGAGCACACGGCAAUCAUAGGCUUAGUUUUCUCCUCAGUCCAGACCAUGGCAGUCAUCAAGAGCAAUCGCACGCAUGCCGUGGGUUCUUCAAUCUGCGUUGUUGUUAUGAUCAUCUCUUGCACUUUGAUCUUACCAACCUCUUGCUAUGAACUUGAUCGUCAUGAGGAGUGCAUGCCUACUCAAGUCUGCCAUUGGAACGUCUGCAAGAUCUUUUGCAGAUACGGCGGCCACCCUUGGCUUGGGGCCUAUUGCAAGACUCAGCCAGGAGAUGUGAAACUAUGUUGUUGUGUUUAUUCCUGAAUCUCCAGUGAUGCAAGUUGUUGUUUGGGGCACUAAUAUUGCAGUUUCCUGUAUCCACCCGCUUGCGAUGCAGUCUCAAUAAAAGAGUUUUCUAGCGACUCAAUCAAUGAAUCAGUGUAUGAUCGAUAUCAUGUGCGCAUAUCUAGCUAGUGGCUCAUCUUUAUGUCUUAAACCAGCGUUGAAGAGAUUAUUAUAUCAAUUGUUCUUCAAUUUCCUAUUAUUCUGAUUCGAUGAUCGCAAUUUA